UACGUAGGGUGCGAGCGUUAAUCGGAAUUACUGGGCGUAAAGCGUGCGCAGGCGGUUGUGCAAGACAGAUGUGAAGUCCCCGGGCUCAACCUGGGAACUGCAUUUGUGACUGCACGGCUGGAGUGCGGCAGAGGGGGAUGGAAUUCCGCGUGUAGCAGUGAAAUGCGUAGAUAUGCGGAGGAACACCGAUGGCGAAGGCAAUCCCCUGGGCCUGCACUGACGCUCAUGCACGAAAGCGUGGGGAGCAAACAGG
Molecule: ribosomal RNA, 253 nt
Filed under: uncultured bacterium
Lineage: Bacteria
Description: partial 16S ribosomal RNA
Rfam family: Bacterial small subunit ribosomal RNA
Source: RNAcentral